RNAcentral lists this RNase P RNA (412 nucleotides) under bacterium. Its description in RNAcentral is "RNase P RNA component class A". It matches the Rfam family "Bacterial RNase P class A". Rfam says of the family: Ribonuclease P (RNase P) is a ubiquitous endoribonuclease, found in archaea, bacteria and eukarya as well as chloroplasts and mitochondria. The record is from RNAcentral.
AGCGUCGGCUGGAUGAUCGCGCGGCUUUCGGGCCGUGAGGAAAGUCCGGACACCAUAGGGCAGGACGGUCGCUAACGGCGACCUUCCAGUGAGGAAUCGCUGGAACGAGAUAGGACAACAGAAAAGAUACCGCCCGAUUUCGGUCGGGUAAGGGUGAAAAGGUGCGGAUCUUUGGGCAACCAGAGGUCUUAAAGUAAGGGCGCACCGGCGGAGUGGUGACACUCCGGCCUGGCAACCCUCGUCCGGUGCAAGACCAAGCAGAAAGCGUUGACCCGGCCCGGCGAGCUUUCGGGUUGGUCGCUGCGCUGGGAGGUAACUUCCAGCGUCACGCUGCGAGCAAUCGCAGGGGCAGAGAAAUGAUCAUCGACGUCGCAAGGCGUUACAAAAUCCGGCUUACAGGCUGGCGUUUCAA